This 400-nucleotide ribosomal RNA is filed under the name uncultured bacterium. Its description in RNAcentral is "bacterial SSU rRNA". It matches the Rfam family "Bacterial small subunit ribosomal RNA", at positions 355 to 748 of the family's 1533-position model. The record is from RNAcentral.
UCGCGAAUUUUUCACAAUGGGCGCAAGCCUGAUGGAGCCAUGCCGUGUGCGGGAUGAAGGCCCUCUGGGUUGUAAACCGCUGUCGAGUGGGGGGAACCGCGUCCGGUGAAUAGUCGGACGUCUGACUGCCCGCUGAAGGAAGCCCCGGCAAAACAUGUGCCAGCAGCCGCGGUAAUACAUGUGGGGCAAGCGUUGUUCGGAAUUACUGGGCAUAAAGGGUGCGUAGGCGGUAUGAUAAGUCAGUGGUGAAAUCCCGCGGCCCAACCGUGGAACUGCCAUUGAUACUGUCGUGCUUGAGUGCGUGAGGGGUGACUGGAACGGGUGGUGUAGCGGUGAAAUGCGUAGAUAUCACCCGGAACACCAAAGGCGAAGGCAGGUCACUGGCACGCAACUGACGCUG